AAUGCCAGUUUCUAACUCCCAGAAACCCAUUCUAGGACCCAAACACAUGUGAUCUCUUUGGGAAAUUUUCUAGUUCAGUUCAACAAAUGGUAGGCUUUAUCGAUGGUCUCCAGUCCUCUGUGAUGAGUUACUUGGUCUUGUUGCUAUCAUCAAGAGUAUGUAAGAGGUGGUUCAUUUGAAAGAAGAAUAGCAUUGCUUCUAUGAUCCAGCCUGCCAGAGGAGCUCUUUGGGAGAAUUGGUACUUCAUACAUGGAAGUAGAGGUGCUGGGGGCCAACUGGGGAUGGGGAGAAGGUGUGGCCCCUCCAGGUCCUCCCGAGAACCAAGGCAAUAUCCUGUUCUUCAGGUGAGAGGAGAAACUGACGGGACAGGGUCAGUUUCAGUCCUUCUGGGCCCUCGCCUCCCUAAGGACUGUCAUCCAAAUGGCUUUCUGUGGUCUCUGUCAGUUCCUCACCUCCUAAACAUCAAUACAGAGCUGGAAAGUUUCUUAGGGGCCACAGGUAGGCCCUAUUCCUCAUCACUUGCUACAAUAGCACAGCCACACCCCUCAUCCCUCCCACUCUCUCAGGAAAGACUGGGCUUGGUCCUCCUCCUUUGCUUACCAAGGAGGAAGGAGCCAAGCAUGUCCACUCUGGAGACGAUAAAGCCAAAGAUGCCAUGGGGGCCACAUUGGACCAGAUGGACCCUGGCGUUCCCUUGGAAGAACUGGUCUGGACCCAGAGUGCUCACUAUUUCCUGAGAACAUGCAGCACAGCAUUAUAUACCCAGGGAGGACAGGAGGGGCAGAGAGGCUUGCAAUGAUAGUUGGCCAGAAACCCAGACUAAACUCUUUAGCACAGCUCCUGGUGAUGCUGGGGUCAAGGAUACCCAUUGUCAACCUCCUUUCUCACUGAAACUUGC
RNAcentral lists this long non-coding RNA (898 nucleotides) under Vulpes vulpes (red fox). RNAcentral describes it as "lncRNA (ENSVVUG00000005023.1)". The record is from RNAcentral. Lineage: Eukaryota; Metazoa; Chordata; Mammalia; Carnivora; Canidae.